Molecule: ribosomal RNA, 1128 nt
Filed under: Triticum aestivum (bread wheat)
Lineage: Eukaryota; Viridiplantae; Streptophyta; Magnoliopsida; Poales; Poaceae
Description: partial small subunit ribosomal RNA
Source: RNAcentral
AUGGACGAGGAGAACAGUCUCCUGCAUUUUCUUGAUGAUACACCCAGUUCUCAUUACAGGAGGACAUGCGGUGGAUAUUCAUCCCAAAACGACGGCGAUGAUCACUCCGAUACAUCAGACGCAGAUCCAUCCAAUGCAAGGGACAGAUUGGAAACUCUACUUAACCAACCUGCCAACAAGUUCUGUGCAGAUUGUGGCACGCCAGAUCCAAAAUGGGCGGCUUUGCCUUUCGGUGCGUUCAUUUGCAUCAAGUGCUCUGGAACUCACAGAAGUCUUGGAGUACACAUAUCAAAGGUGAUUUCAGUGAAUCUAGACGAAUGGACAGAUGAGGAAGUCAAUUGUUUAGCUAAUUCAGGUGGAAAUGCUACUGUGAACACCAAAUAUGAAGCGUUUUUACCCGAAAACUACAAAAAGCCAAGACAAGAUUUUGCGACAGAGGACCGUGCUGUUUUCAUUAGGAAAAAAUACGAGCUUCAACAGUUUGUGACUAAUCCACAAUUUGCAUGCCCUUUGCACAAACAUGGAGCAGAAAAACGUCAUAACCAGCAACAUAGUGGCAGCAAACAUGGUACUUUCAGAAAUAGCUGGAGGAAAAAGGAAUCCGAAAACAAAGGAGGAAAAAAAAUGAUGGAUGUGGGCAUGGUAGAGUUCGUUGGAUUAAUUAAGGUCGACAUCAUAAGGGGCACAGAUUUAGCUGUUCGUGAUGUGAUGUCAAGUGAUCCAUAUGUCAUGAUUAUGCUAGGACACCAAUCCAUGAAAACAAAGGUGAUAAAGAACACACUGAACCCUAUAUGGAAUGAAAGAUUGAUGCUAUCAAUCCCUGAACCGGUGCCGCCUCUUAAAGUGCAAGUGUUCGACAAGGACACAUUCACCUCUGACGACCGAAUGGGAGAGGCUGAAGUUGAUAUCCAGCCAUUGAUCUCUGCAGCAAGAGAGUACCAGAGCUCCAUCAUCACAGAAUCGACACAGAUAUGCACAUUCUUGGCAAGCGAGAACAGCAUUCUAGCCAAGGACAGCAUUAUCUCGAUCGUCGAUGGUAAGGUGGAGCAGGAGAUUGCAUUGAGGCUUCAGAACGUCGAGCACGGGGAGCUUGAGAUCAAGCUCGAGUGCGUGCCCCUCAGUCAGUAG